This 225-nucleotide ribosomal RNA is filed under the name uncultured bacterium. RNAcentral describes it as "partial 16S ribosomal RNA". It matches the Rfam family "Bacterial small subunit ribosomal RNA", at positions 109 to 334 of the family's 1533-position model. The record is from RNAcentral.
AGUAACGCGUGAGUAACCUGCCUCUAAGAGGGGGAUAAAAUUCUGAAAAGAAUGCUAAUACCGCAUAACAUAUAUUUAUCGCAUGGUAGAUAUAUCAAAGAUUUAUCGCUUAGAGAUGGACUCGCGUCCGAUUAGUUAGUUGGUGAGGUAACGGCUCACCAAGACCGCGAUCGGUAGCCGGACUGAGAGGUUGAACGGCCACAUUGGGACUGAGACACGGCCCAG